UUGAACGCUGGCGGCAGGCCUCACACAUGCAAGUCGAACGGUAACAGGAAGAAGCUUGCUUCUUUGCUGACGAGUGGCGGACGGGUGAGUAAUGUCUGGGAAACUGCCCGAUGGAGGGGGAUAACUACUGGAAACGGUAGCUAAUACCGCAUAACGUCGCAAGACCAAAGAGGGGGACCUUCGGGCCUCUUGCCAUCGGAUGUGCCCAGAUGGGAUUAGCUAGUAGGUGGGGUAACGGCUCACCUAGGCGACGAUCCCUAGCUGGUCUGAGAGGAUGACCAGCCACACUGGAACUGAGACACGGUCCAGACUCCUACGGGAGGCAGCAGUGGGGAAUAUUGCACAAUGGGCGCAAGCCUGAUGCAGCCAUGCCGCGUGUAUGAAGAAGGCCUUCGGGUUGUAAAGUACUUUCAGCGGGGAGGAAGGGAGUAAAGUUAAUACCUUUGCUCAUUGACGUUACCCGCAGAAGAAGCACCGGCUAACUCCGUG
This 489-nucleotide ribosomal RNA is filed under the name uncultured bacterium. Its description in RNAcentral is "partial 16S ribosomal RNA". It matches the Rfam family "Bacterial small subunit ribosomal RNA", at positions 30 to 507 of the family's 1533-position model. The record is from RNAcentral.